Molecule: ribosomal RNA, 253 nt
Filed under: uncultured bacterium
Lineage: Bacteria
Description: partial 16S ribosomal RNA
Rfam family: Bacterial small subunit ribosomal RNA
Source: RNAcentral
UACGAAGGGAGCUAGCGUUGUUCGGAAUCACUGGGCGUAAAGCGCACGUAGGCGGAUGUGUCAGUCAGGGGUGAAAUCCCGGAGCUCAACUUCGGAACUGCCUUUGAUACAGCACGUCUUGAGUCCGAUAGAGGUGGGUGGAAUUCCUAGUGUAGAGGUGAAAUUCGUAGAUAUUAGGAAGAACACCCGUGGCGAAGGCGGCUCUCUGGGACGGUACUGACGCUGAGACGCGAAAGCGUGGGGAGCGAACAGG